RNAcentral lists this ribosomal RNA (253 nucleotides) under uncultured bacterium. RNAcentral's name for it is "partial 16S ribosomal RNA". It matches the Rfam family "Bacterial small subunit ribosomal RNA", at positions 524 to 776 of the family's 1533-position model. The record is from RNAcentral.
UACGAACCGUGCGAACGUUGUUCGGAAUAACUGGGCUUAAAGGGUGCGUAGGCGGAUUCGCCAGUCGGGGGUUAAAUCCCCUCGCUCAACGGAGGGACUGCUGUGGAUACUGCCAGCCUAGAGGGAGGUAGGGGCGGGCGGAACUUCUGGUGGAGCGGUGGAAUGUGCUGAGAUCGACUGGAACACCGGUGGCGAAGGCGGCACGCUGGGUCGUUUCUGACGCUGAUGCACGAAAGCUUGGGGAGCAAACAGG